AUACGGAGGAUCCGAGCGUUAUCCGGAUUUAUUGGGUUUAAAGGGAGCGUAGGCGGACGCUUAAGUCAGUUGUGAAAGUUUGCGGCUCAACCGUAAAAUUGCAGUUGAUACUGGCUGUCUUGAGGACAGUAGAGGUGGGCGGAAUUCGUGGUGUAGCGGUGAAAUGCUUAGAUAUCACGAAGAACUCCGAUUGCGAAGGCAGCUCACUGGACUGCAACUGACACUGAUGCUCGAAAGUGUGGGUAUCAAACAGGAUUAGAUACCCUGGUAGUCCACACAGUAAACGAUGAAUACUCGCUGUUUGCGAUAUACAGUAAGCGGCCAAGCGAAAGCAUUAAGUAUUCCACCUGGGGAGUACGCCGGCAACGGUGAAACUCAAAUGAAUUGACGGGG
RNAcentral lists this ribosomal RNA (393 nucleotides) under uncultured bacterium. RNAcentral's name for it is "partial 16S ribosomal RNA". It matches the Rfam family "Bacterial small subunit ribosomal RNA", at positions 523 to 918 of the family's 1533-position model. The record is from RNAcentral.